AUGGCAGUUGACCACGCCGACAAGGAGAAUCUGCCGCCUUCAACCGCCGCCGUCGCCCGUCCUCAUGUCGUAGCUGUCAGGAGCUGCAAGCUGAAGCUGCUCGGGAGGGCGCAGUGGCGGGUGCCGCUCAGGGACAUCACCAACCUCUUCGUUGCCGGGUCUGCGGUUGCCGAGUGGCAGCAGGCCCUGCUCCAGCAGCCGCGGCACGAGGGGUCAGCGGCGGCGGAGCUGGCCGUGAAGAUUGGCCCUGCCGGUGGUGCGGCACUGAAGCCUGGCAGAUACUUGCUCCGGAAGGAGUUUAGAUAG
Molecule: ribosomal RNA, 306 nt
Filed under: Triticum aestivum (bread wheat)
Lineage: Eukaryota; Viridiplantae; Streptophyta; Magnoliopsida; Poales; Poaceae
Description: partial small subunit ribosomal RNA
Source: RNAcentral